This 496-nucleotide long non-coding RNA is filed under the name Homo sapiens (human). The record is from RNAcentral. Lineage: Eukaryota; Metazoa; Chordata; Mammalia; Primates; Hominidae.
GAGCUGUUAGUACUGCUUUCAUCUGUUUUACAGCCACAGCGACAGCAGUUCCCUGGCUUCUGGAAGGAGUGUCGGUCUAUCCAAAAAAUGUACUAACAGAUAUGUAAAAAGUCGAAGGCUGAAUUUGGACCUGCUUUUCCUGUAUUUUCUCAGUUGCAUCUGGGCAGUAAGCUAAGUAUACAAGAAACGAGGGCCAACAUGAAGACAGUGUGGUGCACCAGGUGACGAAGUAAAUGUGCACGGGCUGUACUUUGAAUCAUCCUGUUAAAAACCAGUAGUGGGCCGGGCGCGGUGGCUCACGCCUGUAAUCCCAGCACUUUGGGAGGCCGAGGCGUGCGGAUCACGAGGUCAGGAGAUCGAGACCAUCCCGGCUAACACGGUGAAACCCCGUCUCUACUAAAAAUACAAAAAAUUAGCCGGGCGUGGUGGCGGGCGCCUGUAGUCCCAGCUACUCGGGAGGCUGAGGCAAGAGAAGGGCGUGAACCCGGGAGGCGGA